Cannabis sativa is the source of this 119-nucleotide small nucleolar RNA. RefSeq annotates it as small nucleolar RNA snoR104. The record is from RefSeq and is a predicted model, not a curated record. NCBI's taxonomy places the organism in Eukaryota, Viridiplantae, Streptophyta, Magnoliopsida, Rosales, Cannabaceae. The transcript has a single exon.
GGGGAACAUCCAAAAGUUGAGAUGUUACCUGAUACAACCUUCCUAAAGAGAAUCUCUGCAUCUUUCCUACUUGUAGUGCUUGAGCAAGAUCUUCAAGUCUCAAUUAUGCAGGGACACAA